CCUACGGGCGGCAGCAGUGGGGAAUAUUGCACAAUGGGGGAAACCCUGAUGCAGCGACGCCGCGUGAGCGAAGAAGUCUUUCGGUAUGUAAAGCUCUAUCAGCAGGGAAGAAAAUGAUGGUACCUGAGUACGAAUCUCCGGCUAAAUACGGGCCAGCCGCCGCGGUACUACGUCGGGAGCAAGCGUUAUCCGGAUUUACCGGGCGUAAAGGGAGCGGAGGCGGCCUUGCAAGUCUGAUGUGAAAUACCGGGGCUCAACCCCGGGGCUGCAUUGGAAACUGGCAGGCUGGAGUGCAGGAGAGGCAGGCGGAAGUCCUAGUGUAGCGGUGAAAUGCGUAGAUAUUAGGAGGAACACCAGUGGCGAAGGCGGCCUGCUGGACGGUGACUGACGCUGAGGCUCGAAAGCGUGGGGAGCAAACAGGAUUAGAUACCCGUGUAGUC
This 440-nucleotide ribosomal RNA is filed under the name uncultured bacterium. RNAcentral's name for it is "partial 16S ribosomal RNA". It matches the Rfam family "Bacterial small subunit ribosomal RNA", at positions 338 to 795 of the family's 1533-position model. The record is from RNAcentral.